RNAcentral lists this long non-coding RNA (207 nucleotides) under Elaeis guineensis (African oil palm). Its description in RNAcentral is "long non-coding RNA (EGUI_LNC075850)". The record is from RNAcentral. Lineage: Eukaryota; Viridiplantae; Streptophyta; Magnoliopsida; Arecales; Arecaceae.
GAAGUUCAUAAAAAACUUAUCAGACCCCAUCAUCAGUCAUAUGCUUGAUUGGCUCGACUUGAGUUUACUUAUGAAUCACAUAGAAACUCUUUUCUAGUAUUCACACUUGCUUUGGCCAAAGAAUUUCUGAACUCAAUCUCGCAAAUCGCAUAGGACUUCUCCUUUUCUACCAGGAUCGAUAGAUUUUAUUUAGAUGCAUCUUACUCC